AGGAAUUGAACUGGGAAUUAUUUAUUUAGGUUCAUAUAGUAGGGGAGUUUAGAGAAUAAUGGCUUGAUUCCUCAAAUGAACAGUUAAGAGCAAUAGAGCCAGAUAUAGGUCUCAGUUUCCCAUCAUGCUGGCCUCUGGAAAUUUAAAUAAAGCAAGCCAAAAAGGUAAAAAAUACCAAAAGUUGAAAAUUCCUCUAACUUAUUUCUUAAUUUUUGAAGGCAGCAGGCAGCAGCCAAAACAUACCACACAUCUACAGUGAGACGCUUACCACAACAAUUCUGUGAAAAAGGUGUGGAUGUUCCUAUUUCACAGAAAAGGAAAUAAAAGCUCAGAGGAACUAAAGAAUUUUCUACACGUCACCUGUUGGACUCCUUCAGUGUUGCUUCACCAGCCAGAAAUCUCUACGGCCAUCGUCAUCUCUGCCCAAGCCUUGCUUAGGGCCUGCUGGGCUCACCCUGCCCACUUGGCCCAGCAGGCUGCACUUGGCUCAUGCCUCGGCCCGAAUACUGCACCUGCCAUGGCUCCAUGCUUAGCCCACAGCUGGACCAAGCAUACUGCUAGUGACUUCUGCCUUGGGCACCAGCAUCUAGACAAACAGAACGCAGUGGCAUCCGAAAACUUGGAGAUGACAGCAAUUGCGAAACCCCAAGGGGUGUUACAGCUCUUACCUGAGGAGUCCCAAGGUCUGAGAUGUUAGAUGUUGCAGUUCUUCACUCCUGCAGCUCAGCAAGCAGGAGCAUGUUACAGCUCUCUUUCUUCCAUAGUCUGGCAAGUGGCAGUGUGUUACAGCCCAUUUAUUCCCACUGCCCGCAGCUCAGUGGGUUCUGGGUUCUUGUCCUGCAACCAAGAGGAAUAAGGUGUGUGGACACCAGAGAGUGAAUAAGGCAGAGAAGAAUUUUAUUGAGCAACAGAAGGAAAGCUCUCAGCUGCAAAAGAGAGGACCUGAGAGUGGGUAGCCGUCUGUGAGGCUGAGUCCAGGUUUUUAUGGGCUUAGAAUUGGGGAGUGCAUGCUGAUUGGUCCAUGGGUUGGCUUUGGAAAAAGCACCAUUCAAUUGGUUUAAAGGCAUCAUUCAGAAGGAACCAAUUGAGAGAGAGAGAGGGUGAGAUGGGUAUAGAAGUUUUCACUCUGGUUAUAGACUCUAUAUGGAACCAACAGCUUGGUUUUCAGGCUUUAAACGGUCUUUGGCAAGACAGGGACUUGUCUCUGCCUAGGAAUUUGUCUGUCUCCUGUCACUAUUACUCUCUAUGUCCACUGCUUCUUCUCUUUAAAGAAUUUAUCACUUCAUGCUUUGCAACUAAAUUAUUGUAGAGGCCUGUCUCUUAUUCCUUCAAUCGGUUCUGAACAUCCCUUCUAGAUUAAUAUUUUGUAACACCUCUUUAAUUUUAUCACUUCCACAUUCAAGUCUCUUGCUCACAGAAUGAAGACUUUCAGUGUUUUGUUGGUUGUGACAUUCUUAACUGCUCUUAUUCUUCAUUUUGUAGGCCAAUCUUUAGCAAAACUGUCAAUCACAUUCUUGGGCUUUUGACCUGUACACAUUUGUACUUCAACAGAUUUGCCCUUGUCAGUCCCUAUUUUGCCUUUAUGUUCACCUUCUCGUCUCAAGCUCCACCUUGAAGUUCUGUACAUUUUUUAAAGCCUGGCUCAAAAUUAUAGACCACAUUCUAGAUAAAAUAUCUUAUGAUAAUGCUAGGUAGAAGUGACUUCUUUCAUUUCUAUAAUCCCUGAUCCCUUACAAUUCGUCCAUUACGCCAUGGGGGACAUAAGUAUAUGUCUCUUUUCUUAUAGUGGUGGUUUUCUUUUCUCCUUGUGUCAUACAUUCCUUCAUCCUAGAGACUACAUUUUAAACUCCCUGAGGAUUCCUUACAGAUAGAAACGGGAUUUCACUCCUACAAUGAUGUCUUGAAAAUAGUAACUACAUAUUUGUUUAAUAAAUAUAUCUAAAAUUAUCUAAAUAAAUAUAUCCAAAAUAUAUCAAUGAUGGAUAGAUCAAUAAAUGUAUCCAUUAAAUACUACUGCUUUAUACCAAUUCAGUUCACAUUUAUAGAAGCUUUAUUUUGACCCAAGCAUGUAAAAUACAGAAGUGAUUUUCACAGGCCACAUACACUUAAGGAGUUUAGUCUGACAAAAGAGAUUCAAUAUUAAAUUAGAAUAACAAUAAAAUGAGACACCUGAUUUAUAUUGGUAAAUUGUGCAUGCAUAGAGGAAAGAGUUAUUGUCUCAGUCUUGGGUUCAUAGGUGUUGCAAUUUGAUUUGAGUCAAAAGUUGAAUAUAAUAUGGAAAAUGUGGCAUACAAAACAUUUCACAAAGAAGGUGGGCAAAGAUACAGGAGAAUAUGUGGUUACCAGUAAAGUGCAAUGUUCAUGUGCAGAAAGAGCUGGAAACAAGACAUGUGGAGACUAAGUGGUGGCCUCCAAAUCUGAGCCAAAGUCCAGGAGUUGAAAGGUAAAGGCUUGGCUCUCCUGGUUCCUCUUCCUCACCCUAACUGUGCACAAGUCAGUCCUUAUGGCAAAUAUUACAUGUUGUUAUUAUUAUUAUUAUUUUACUUCUAUUUUUUCCUCUCCUCAUAAGCCAUUACAAAUCUCAGUGAGUGGAAGAAACAUGAGCAUAGUACUUUAUUAUCAAAACUUCAACCAAUAACUUUGCCAAGGGUUCAAACAGAACCCUACCAUUAAUACAUAAAUUUGUUAUUUAUAGAAAAAUAAAGAAAGCUAGGAAAAUUAGAGUCCUAGAACAUGGAGAUUUCAAGAAGAAUUAAGAGUAUUUACCACAGAAUUGAAUAUGGCUUUACUAAGAACACAGCUAUUUGGGGAGAAGCAAGGAUGGUAGGUCAAGGAUCAUGUUUUAUGCAGUAGGACUCUCAUCACUCUUACAGUCUUAUACAAUAUUCUCCACAUUAAAAACUGUAUGUAGAAAAGGAGAGACAUCAGAACAAUUAUUAGAUGUUUUAUAAAAAUGAACCACAGGAAGUGGUAUGGUGAAGACGGAAGCCAACAGGAUUAAAAAAACAUGAUUUUAAAUUUUAGUCCUACCAAUUAUCAAAUGUAGAACCUAGGGAAAUAACUGAAUAUUAUUAAUGCUUACUUUUAUUAUCUGAAAUCACAGGAAAAACAUUACAUCCAUUUCAUAGGGUUGUUUGAAGACAAAACGAGAUAAUAAAAGGACAGAGCAGAUUUUGGGACAUACUAAAUGCUCAGUAUAUGUUGAUUAUGCUGAUUGCAGAUAUUAUGUGAAAGGACUGUUUCUGAAUAUGUGUUCUCUUAGUUAUAUCUCAGAAUAUUCUCCUUGAAAUGUUAAUUAAAAGCAUACUAUUUCCUCCUAACUUCUUCUGAUAUAGUCUCAUUAUUUUUAUAUAAUAUCACUUAUAUCUUUAAAAAAUUCCUCCAUUUAUGUAUUAUUACUAAGAAAAUCAAAUUUAUCAUCAAAGUGGAUUAGUUAUUUCCAAAGCUAUUAUAAAUAUUUACUCUUAAACUUCUA
RNAcentral lists this long non-coding RNA (3475 nucleotides) under Homo sapiens (human). RNAcentral's name for it is "HSALNT0351551". Lineage: Eukaryota; Metazoa; Chordata; Mammalia; Primates; Hominidae. The record is from RNAcentral.